AGUGAACGCUGGCGGUAGGCCUAACACAUGCAAGUCGAACGGCAGCACAGUAAGAGCUUGCUCUUACGGGUGGCGAGUGGCGGACGGGUGAGGAAUACAUCGGAAUCUACUUUUUCGUGGGGGAUAACGUAGGGAAACUUACGCUAAUACCGCAUACGACCUACGGGUGAAAGCAGUGGAUCUUCGGACCUUGCGCGAUUGAAUGAGCCGAUGUCGGAUUAGCUAGUUGGCGGGGUAAAGGCCCACCAAGGCGACGAUCCGUAGCUGGUCUGAGAGGAUGAUCGGCCACACUGGAACUGAGACACGGUCCAGACUCCUACGGGAGGCAGCAGUGGGGAAUAUGGGACAAUGGGCGCAAGCCUGAUCCAGCCAUACCGCGUGGGUGAAGAAGGCCUUCGGGUUGUAAAGCCCUUUUGUUGGGAAAGAAAAGCAGCAGGUUAAUACCCCGCUGUUCUGACGGUACCCAAAGAAUAAGCACCGGCUAACUUCGUG
This 492-nucleotide ribosomal RNA is filed under the name uncultured bacterium. RNAcentral's name for it is "partial 16S ribosomal RNA". It matches the Rfam family "Bacterial small subunit ribosomal RNA", at positions 29 to 507 of the family's 1533-position model. The record is from RNAcentral.